ACGAGUCUUUCUGUUUGCUAUUUAUGAAAUCACUAUGUCCUUAGACAUCCUAAUUUGCCAGUGUGAGAGGUGAACUGGCUUUUGUCUUGCUCUGAGUGGUACUAUUAGAAAACUGCCUAUAGGCCUUCAAUGACUACAUUUGCUUCAAACUAAUAAAUCCCAUAUUUGUAAUGAAAUGGAGAGAGAAAACUUAAAAAUUAGGCUUCCUCCUCUUCUGUUUUGUGUGACAGCCUUUUCCCCUUCUGGAGCCUUGAAAACACAGCUUGAUAUUGAGAGGUGUGGGGCAGUUACUUGGGAAAGCUUUGGAUUCUUAGUAUGGGAGGAGAUCCAACAGCCUUCAUUGAGUUCCUUCAAAGAGUAAUCUAACUGCAGGCAAACAAAGAGGAGUUAAAGAAAACUAUGUGAGUUUUACUUGCCCUUUAGAGAAUUCCUUUUUCAUUUCCUCCUCUCUAAAGAGGUGACAAAACCUGCCAACACCAUAUUUUUUCAAAGAUACAGAAUAAAAGGCAAUGUUUUAGACAAAGACAAUGAUUGUAGUCAAGUAUGUGGGAGAGCUAAUUCCACAUAAAGAGAGGUUAUAGAAACAACAAGUAUGCAGUAAUCAAAAAAAGAAAAGAGCUAGAGUAACCCUAAAAUGGUGCACAGAGGACUGGUCCAGAAUUCUUAUUUAUUCUGAAUGGCAGAAGCAGAACAAGAAAGCAUUGCAUGAAAAAGAAAUAUAUUUGUAGUGCAAAAGAUGGUACAGGAAAUCAGCUUUUAUUUAACAUACUAUUUAACAACACUCGUUACAGAAUAUUGAGACUAUUGACUUUGUAAAAUAUAAAGUAAAAGGAUUCAGGCUUAAAUGAAUACAAGUAACAUCUGUACUUUUCUCUAAGGUAAAAUAGAAAUCAAAACCAGAACGGGUAUAAUAGUCUGAUGACCACCGGGGAAGAGAAGGAGUCUCCCACCUUUGGUUUUCGUAUUUCAAGAUCUCAGUUACCAGUUCAUGGCAGAGAACUGAUGCAAGGGCAGCCAUGGGAAAGGCUGGAUUCCAAACCUGCUCCUUGCAGUAGCUGGCAAGACUCGACAUUUGGUGGACAUGUGGUACCCCUCUAUGUUGUGGAAAAGGCUGCUGGACUGGGAAGACAAGAUUUUCAGGAGCAUCGUGAGAGGUUUCCCAGUCCAUCAUCCUGUCUGUAUCUGGGAUGGUCCCUGGUGCUGACAAACUCCGGAGCAAGCUGA
This 1224-nucleotide long non-coding RNA is filed under the name Pavo cristatus (Indian peafowl). Its description in RNAcentral is "lncRNA (ENSPSTG00000014262.1)". Lineage: Eukaryota; Metazoa; Chordata; Aves; Galliformes; Phasianidae. The record is from RNAcentral.